Molecule: ribosomal RNA, 429 nt
Filed under: Actinomycetes bacterium
Lineage: Bacteria; Bacillati; Actinomycetota; Actinomycetes
Description: Actinobacteria bacterium partial 16S ribosomal RNA
Rfam family: Bacterial small subunit ribosomal RNA
Source: RNAcentral
UAGGGAAUCUUCCGCAAUGGGCGAAAGCCUGACGGAGCAACGCCGCGUGAGUGAUGAAGGUCUUCGGAUCGUAAAACUCUGUUAUUAGGGAAGAACAAAUGUGUAAGUAACUAUGCACGUCUUGACGGUACCUAAUCAGAAAGCCACGGCUAACUACGUGCCAGCAGCCGCGGUAAUACGUAGGUGGCAAGCGUUAUCCGGAAUUAUUGGGCGUAAAGCGCGCGUAGGCGGUUUUUUAAGUCUGAUGUGAAAGCCCACGGCUCAACCGUGGGUGGUCAUUGGAAACUGGAAAACUUGAGUGCAGAAGAGGAAAGUGGAAUUCCAUGUGUAGCGGUGAAAUGCGCAGAGAUAUGGAGGAACACCAGUGGCGAAGGCGACUUUCUGGUCUGUAACUGACGCUGAUGUGCGAACGCGGGGGGAUCAAACAGG